Molecule: long non-coding RNA, 432 nt
Filed under: Capsicum annuum
Lineage: Eukaryota; Viridiplantae; Streptophyta; Magnoliopsida; Solanales; Solanaceae
Description: long non-coding RNA (CANN_LNC017721)
Source: RNAcentral
CUCCUGUAUCUAUCAUAGGCGUAUAAUAUCUACUGUAAUAUCCUUCUACUACUAUCUUCAUUAAUACAUAUAUUUUCAUUUUAUGUUAAGGCUCUUCUUAAGAAUAAUUUCUCUCUGUUAUAUGUUAAGAUUAAUUGUGUAUGUUAUAUAUUAUAUGGUUUUACUUGUUCUAGCUAUUUUAUUCCUAAUAUUAUGUCUGCUUUUUGCAUUUCUUCCUUUACUUUAAAUUCUAUUUUUAUUUUUUUGAUUCCUAUUAUUAUUUCUUUUUCUGCUAUAUUUUUACUAUUUAUUAAACUUCUUGGUAGAUCUGCGCAUAUAUCAUUAUCACUUUUUAUUUCUUCAUUUUUUACUAGAUAUUUUACUAUAUAAUUUUCUUCUUGUCCUGUAUUUAAGAGUAUUAAAUAUUCUUUUUCAUUUACCUUUCCUAUUAUG